Molecule: ribosomal RNA, 452 nt
Filed under: Escherichia coli
Lineage: Bacteria; Pseudomonadati; Pseudomonadota; Gammaproteobacteria; Enterobacterales; Enterobacteriaceae
Description: partial 23S ribosomal RNA
Rfam family: Bacterial large subunit ribosomal RNA
Source: RNAcentral
CCUAUAAUCGUUUUAAUCGAUGGGGGGACGCAGUAGGAUAGGCGAAGCGUGCGAUUGGAUUGCACGUCUAAGCAGUAAGGCUGAGUAUUAGGCAAAUCCGGUACUCGUUAAGGCUGAGCUGUGAUGGGGAGAAGACAUUGUGUCUUCGAGUCGUUGAUUUCACACUGCCGAGAAAAGCCUCUAGAUAGAAAAUAGGUGCCCGUACCGCAAACCGACACAGGUAGUCAAGAUGAGAAUUCUAAGGUGAGCGAGCGAACUCUCGUUAAGGAACUCGGCAAAAUGACCCCGUAACUUCGGGAGAAGGGGUGCUCUUUAGGGUUAACGCCCAGAAGAGCCGCAGUGAAUAGGCCCAAGCGACUGUUUAUCAAAAACACAGGUCUCUGCUAAACCGUAAGGUGAUGUAUAGGGGCUGACGCCUGCCCGGUGCUGGAAGGUUAAGAGGAGUGGUUAGC